Molecule: transfer RNA, 73 nt
Filed under: Cordylochernes scorpioides
Lineage: Eukaryota; Metazoa; Arthropoda; Arachnida; Pseudoscorpiones; Chernetidae
Description: tRNA-Thr
Rfam family: tRNA
About the family: Transfer RNA (tRNA) molecules are approximately 80 nucleotides in length. Their secondary structure includes four short double-helical elements and three loops (D, anti-codon, and T loops).
Source: RNAcentral
UCCAGGGUAGCCUAGUGGACAUAUCAUCUGCCCGGUAAGCGGAACAUUGUGGGUUCGAUUCCCAUCCCUGGAC